This 447-nucleotide ribosomal RNA is filed under the name uncultured bacterium. RNAcentral's name for it is "bacterial SSU rRNA". It matches the Rfam family "Bacterial small subunit ribosomal RNA", at positions 331 to 792 of the family's 1533-position model. The record is from RNAcentral.
CCAGACUCCUACGGGAGGCAGCAGUGGGGAAUAUUGGGCAAUGGGCGCAAGCCUGACCCAGCAACGCCGCGUGAAGGAAGAAGGCUUUCGGGUUGUAAACUUCUUUUCUCAGGGACGAAGAAAGUGACGGUACCUGAGGAAUAAGCCACGGCUAACUACGUGCCAGCAGCCGCGGUAAUACGUAGGUGGCAAGCGUUAUCCGGAUUUAUUGGGUGUAAAGGGCGUGUAGGCGGGACUGCAAGUCAGAUGUGAAAGCCACGGGCUCAACCUGUGGCCUGCAUUUGAAACUGUAGUUCUUGAGUACUGGAGAGGCAGACGGAAUUCCUAGUGUAGCGGUGAAAUCCGUAGAUAUCUGGAGGAACAUCAGUGGCGAAGGCGGCCACCUGGACCGGUAUUGACGCUGAGGCGCGAAAGCGUGGGGAGCAAACAGGAUUAGAUACCCUGGUA